Molecule: ribosomal RNA, 79 nt
Filed under: Duganella sp. 3397
Lineage: Bacteria; Pseudomonadati; Pseudomonadota; Betaproteobacteria; Burkholderiales; Oxalobacteraceae
Description: partial 16S ribosomal RNA
Rfam family: Bacterial small subunit ribosomal RNA
Source: RNAcentral
AAACUGAAGAGUUUGAUCCUGGCUCAGAUUGAACGCUGGCGGCAUGCCUUACACAUGCAAGUCGAACGGCAGCGCGGGG